Molecule: ribosomal RNA, 446 nt
Filed under: uncultured bacterium
Lineage: Bacteria
Description: SSU rRNA
Rfam family: Bacterial small subunit ribosomal RNA
Source: RNAcentral
AGAACGAACGCUGGCGGCAUGCCUAACACAUGCAAGUCGAACGAGACCUUCGGGUCUAGUGGCGCACGGGUGCGUAACGCGUGGGAAUCUGCCCUUGGGUACGGAAUAACUUCGGGAAACUGAAGCUAAUACCGUAUAAUGACUUCGGUCCAAAGAUUUAUCGCCCAGGGAUGAGCCCGCGUAGGAUUAGCUUGUUGGUGAGGUAAAGGCUCACCAAGGCGACGAUCCUUAGCUGGUCUGAGAGGAUGAUCAGCCACACUGGGACUGAGACACGGCCCAGACUCCUACGGGAGGCAGCAGUGGGGAAUAUUGGACAAUGGGCGAAAGCCUGAUCCAGCAAUGCCGCGUGAGUGAUGAAGGCCUUAGGGUUGUAAAGCUCUUUUGCCCGGGAUGAUAAUGACAGUACCGGGAGAAUAAGCUCCGGCUAACUCCGUGCCAGCAGCCGC